CGAGAAAGCCCGCAAGGGUGAGUACAGCGGCGCACGGGUGCGUAACACGUGGGUAAUCUGCCCUGGAGCCCGGAAUAACUCCCCGAAAGGGGUGCUAAUGCCGGAUGAGCCCACGGGGUCCUUGGACCCUGAGGGAAAAGGUGGCCUCUGUAUACAAGCUAUCACUUCAGGAUGAGCCCGCGGCCCAUCAGCUAGUUGGCGGGGUAAUGGCCCACCAAGGCUACGACGGGUAGCUGGUCUGAGAGGACGAUCAGCCACACUGGAACUGAGACACGGUCCAGACUCCUACGGGAGGCAGCAGUGGGGAAUCUUGCGCAAUGGGCGAAAGCCUGACGCAGCAACGCCGCGUGUGUGAUGAAGGUCUUCGGAUCGUAAAGCACUGUCGCGAGGGACG
Molecule: ribosomal RNA, 394 nt
Filed under: uncultured Anaeromyxobacter sp.
Lineage: Bacteria; Pseudomonadati; Myxococcota; Myxococcia; Myxococcales; Anaeromyxobacteraceae
Description: bacterial SSU rRNA
Rfam family: Bacterial small subunit ribosomal RNA
Source: RNAcentral